This 261-nucleotide long non-coding RNA is filed under the name Medicago truncatula (barrel medic). Its description in RNAcentral is "long non-coding RNA (MTRU_LNC007254)". The record is from RNAcentral. Lineage: Eukaryota; Viridiplantae; Streptophyta; Magnoliopsida; Fabales; Fabaceae.
AAGGAAGUGAAGGAGAUAGUGGUGACAUGGAGAAAUGCUCAUGAAAUGAAUGGAACAAAAGAAAUGAGGUGAUUAGUAAAAUAAAGCAUAGAAUAAGAGAAGUGCACAAAAAAGUAUUAAAAGGAAAGACAUAAAAGAGACUAAUAAAGUGACAAAAUGUGCAUGAAAGUGGCCAUAAGAUUCUAGCAUGUGUAUGACCUAUGACCCCUUCAUUAUGGCAAAAUUUUAGAAGUCUUACUUUGUGCCAUAAGGUGAGAAUUA